This is a long non-coding RNA of Alosa sapidissima (American shad), 508 nucleotides long. RefSeq lists it as uncharacterized. NCBI's taxonomy places the organism in Eukaryota, Metazoa, Chordata, Actinopteri, Clupeiformes, Clupeidae. The record is from RefSeq and is a predicted model, not a curated record. The transcript is spliced from 2 exons.
UUCUGUGUGUUCUGGUCUUACAAAGGGCUUCUUGAAAUGGCACUUAAUUCAGUACACGUGUUGUGUUCUGUGUUUUAGGUCUUACAAGUGCCCACUGCUCUUUAAUCUGAUGCAUUCUCUUACUGCCCUGUAACUGACCCUGGGCAAUACUGCGCCAAACCAGAGGCGGCAGACUGUACGGAACAUGGUGUCAUUCGCCCCUUCCAUGUACUGUGAACCAGAACUGUGUUGCGCACCCAUAUUUCACAAGUGUUCUUAAAUGUGGCACCUUUCUAUGUUCCCUUCUUUGCAGUGCCUUGAUGCACUUAGUAUUUUUAAUAAUAAAAGUGGUCACCGCCGCACUUGCAAUGACUUGUGGAGUUUCCAUUGACUUAUUCAAGGAGAAGGCUACAGAGAAGAACAUGGAAGUACCAAAUGACUUGCUGGGUCGGAUGGAACAGCAGGUGGAAGACCAUCCGCAAAAUUGAAUUUCCACAUUAUUUUAAAUAAAAUAUAAUUUGUUAGUGUA